CAAUAGCGUAUAUUAAAGUUGUUGCGGUUAAAAAGCUCGUAGUUGGAUUUCUGCCGAGGACGACCGGUCCGCCCACUGGGUGAGUAUCUGGCUCGGCCUGGGCAUCUUCUUGGAGAACGUAGCUGCACUUGACUGUGUGGUGCGGUAUCCAGGACUUUUACUUUGAGGAAAUUAGAGUGUUUCAAGCAGGCACACGCCUUGAAUACAUUAGCAUGGAAUAAUAAGAUAGGACCUCGGUUCUAUUUUGUUGGUUUCUAGAGCUGAGGUAAUGAUUAAUAGGGAUAGUUGGGGGCAUUAGUAUUGCUUUGUCAGAGGUGAAAUUCAUUGAUUAUCGCAAGACUAACUUAUGCGAAAGCAUUUGCCAAGGAUGUUUUCAUUAAUCAAGAACGAAAGUUAGGGGAUCAAAGACGAUCAGAUACCAU
Molecule: ribosomal RNA, 422 nt
Filed under: uncultured eukaryote
Lineage: Eukaryota
Description: SSU rRNA
Rfam family: Eukaryotic small subunit ribosomal RNA
Source: RNAcentral